Molecule: RNA transcript, 1164 nt
Organism: Lucilia cuprina (Australian sheep blowfly)
Lineage: Eukaryota; Metazoa; Arthropoda; Insecta; Diptera; Calliphoridae
Exons: 4
Source: RefSeq, a predicted model, not a curated record
AAAUAAUAGUAAUAAUAUAUAUUUUUUUCUUGUUUUGUUGCAUUCAUAUACUCUGUGUCUAUAUUUUUAUAUAAAUAUUUAUACGCUAAUAAUCAAAAUUUCGAAAUAUGUCAAUAUUGCGCUGUAAUAUACGAGACGUGGAACCUACCACCUCCAGCUUAAAACGAAACGAUUAUCAUUUACACACACCAUUAUUUGUGCUCGAUGUUAUACGUUUAUUUCAAGACCAUCCCAAAUAUAUUGGUGGACUAAAGGAGAGCCAUAUAGUAGGCUUAUUACAAAAAGAAGAUAUUGCUACCGGCGAUGUAGAAGCCCAAGUGCGAAUGGCCUUAAAGGAAUUAAUGUCUAUUGGUUUUGUACGUUUUGUUUCUCAGGGAUAUCGCACCUUGGGUCCUUUUGCUAAAUUAGCUUUAGCUCGCACACCACAUCAGCAGAAUGUAGCCUGGGAACGUUUGAAUAAAAUGCAAAAAAUUAAUUGUAUGAAUUUUGGAUCAUCAUUUUCUCUCUCUUGCAGUUAAAUUUAAUAAGUACAAAAAUACAUAUUUUACUUUUGGAGUUUUAAAUAAGAGAUCUAAUUAACUAUUCAAUCAUUACUACAAAUAAUAACUGCUUAAUUGUUUGCAUCCAGAGCUGUGAAAACAACGUGUAGUGCGUGUAGAAUUUUAGUGGACCACUCGAAUUAUUAUUCAAAAAUCUUUGUAAUGUCCGUUUUGCACUUUACGGAUAUUGAAUUUUUAGAAAAUAAUGUGUGGUGCGGAAUAAUAUACAAUUAAUCAACAUGGCUUGGACAUACAGACAGAUUUUUAUAUGCUUCAGAUGAUUAUAUUAUAAAUUGUUGUAAUAAGUUUUGAUUUAAAAAUGUAUAGAAUUAUUUUAAAGGUUUUGUGAAAUAAAUAAAAUUUAGUUUACUUUUUACAUGUAUUAUUAAAAUUAUUAUAUGUAAAUGAUAAAAUUAAUUAAAUGGAAGUAAUUUUUUUGUAUUGUACAUAAUAAAUAAUUUUGUAAGUUAUGUUGCUAAAAAAUAAUCAUAAUAAAUAUUUUUAUUCAUAAUGAUAUUUAAGCAUUUGUAAAGGUUUUUAAUGUAAUAGACAAUUAUAACAAAAUUAUAAAAACUGUUUCCUGUUGACAUGACCAAAAUAUUGAAAGAAAAUUAUUAAUUAAAAG